Molecule: ribosomal RNA, 506 nt
Filed under: uncultured bacterium
Lineage: Bacteria
Description: partial 16S ribosomal RNA
Rfam family: Bacterial small subunit ribosomal RNA
Source: RNAcentral
AGUGAACGCUGGCGGUAGGCCUAACACAUGCAAGUCGAACGGCAGCACAGGAGAGCUUGCUCUCUGGGUGGCGAGUGGCGGACGGGUGAGGAAUACAUCGGAAUCUACUCUGUCGUGGGGGAUAACGUAGGGAAACUUACGCUAAUACCGCAUACGACCUACGGGUGAAAGCAGGGGAUCCUCGGACCUUGCGCGAUUGAAUGAGCCGAUGUCGGAUUAGCUAGUUGGCGGGGUAAAGGCCCACCAAGGCGACGAUCCGUAGCUAGUCUGAGAGGAUGAUCAGCCACACUGGAACUGAGACACGGUCCAGACUCCUACGGGAGGCAGCAGUGGGGAAUAUUGGACAAUGGGCGCAAGCCUGAUCCAGCCAUACCGCGUGGGUGAAGAAGGCCUUCGGGUUGUAAAGCCCUUUUGUUGGGAAAGAAAUCCAGCUGGCUAAUACCCGGUUGGGAUGACGGUACCCAAAGAAUAAGCACCGGCUAACUUCGUGCCAGCAGCCGCCGUAA